Molecule: ribosomal RNA, 450 nt
Filed under: uncultured bacterium
Lineage: Bacteria
Description: partial 16S ribosomal RNA
Rfam family: Bacterial small subunit ribosomal RNA
Source: RNAcentral
CCUACGGGGGGCUGCAGUGAGGAAUAUUGGUCAAUGGGCGUAAGCCUGAACCAGCCAUCCCGCGUGAAGGAAGAAGGCGCUAUGCGUCGUAAACUUCUUUUCCAGAGGAAUAAAAUUUCGUACGUGUACGGAACUGAAGGUACUUUGGGAAUAAGCAUCGGCUAACUCCGUGCCAGCAGCCGCGGUAAUACGGAGGAUGCGAGCGUUAUCGGGAUUUAUUGGGUUGUAGGCGGAUUUAGACGUAUUAAUAGAAAACCUUAAGCUUAACUGGGGAACUGCCGUUGAUACUGUUAGUCUUGAGUACGGUAAAGGUAGGCGGAAUGUGUAAUGUAGCGGUGAAAUGCUUAGAUAUUACACAGAACACCGAUUGCGAAGGCAGCUUACUGGGCCAUUACUGACGCUGAUGCACGAAAGCGUGGGGAGCGAACAGGAUUAGAUACCCUGGUAGUC